GAUGAACGCUGGCGGCGUGCCUAAUACAUGCAAGUCGAGCGAACAGACGAGGAGCUUGCUCCUCUGACGUUAGCGGCGGACGGGUGAGUAACACGUGGAUAACCUACCGAUAAGACUGGGAUAACUUCGGGAAACCGGAGCUAAUACCGGAUAAUAUAUUGAACCGCAUGGUUCAAUAGUGAAAGACGGUUUUGCUGUCACUUAUAGAUGGAUCCGCGCCGCAUUAGCUAGUUGGUAAGGUAACGGCUUACCAAGGCAACGAUGCGUAGCCGACCUGAGAGGAUGAUCAGCCACACUGGAACUGAGACACGGUCCAGACUCCUACGGGAGGCAGCAGUAGGGAAUCUUCCGCAAUGGGCGAAAGCUUGACGGAGCAACGCCGCGUGAGUGAUGAAGGUCUUCGGAUCGUAAAACUCUGUUAUUAGGGAAGAACAAAUGUGUAAGUAACUAUGCACGUCUUGACGGUACCUAAUCAGAAAGCCACGGCUAACUACGUG
Molecule: ribosomal RNA, 497 nt
Filed under: uncultured bacterium
Lineage: Bacteria
Description: partial 16S ribosomal RNA
Rfam family: Bacterial small subunit ribosomal RNA
Source: RNAcentral